GUAAAGGACUCUCUCUCAGAGAAACACAGUGUGAGAUCAGGAUCAUGUGUGUCCAGCGCUGUGUCUCUGAAGAGUGACUGGUCAAUGGGUAAUCCACCAGUAUUCAGUGAGAAAACACCAUCAUCUACUCAAAGUGUGGAUGGAGAUGAUCAGACUGGAGACC
Danio rerio (zebrafish) is the source of this 163-nucleotide non-coding RNA. The record is from RefSeq and is a predicted model, not a curated record. NCBI's taxonomy places the organism in Eukaryota, Metazoa, Chordata, Actinopteri, Cypriniformes, Danionidae.